This 430-nucleotide ribosomal RNA is filed under the name Enterococcus faecium. RNAcentral describes it as "bacterial SSU rRNA". It matches the Rfam family "Bacterial small subunit ribosomal RNA", at positions 353 to 780 of the family's 1533-position model. Lineage: Bacteria; Bacillati; Bacillota; Bacilli; Lactobacillales; Enterococcaceae. The record is from RNAcentral.
AGUGAGGAAUAUUGGUCAAUGGGCGCUAGCCUGAACCAGCCAAGUAGCGUGCAGGAUGACGGCCCUAUGGGUUGUAAACUGCUUUUAUGCGGGGAUAAAGUCACCCACGUGUGGGUGUUUGCAGGUACCGCAUGAAUAAGGACCGGCUAAUUCCGUGCCAGCAGCCGCGGUAAUACGGAAGGUCCGGGCGUUAUCCGGAUUUAUUGGGUUUAAAGGGAGUGUAGGCGGCCUGUUAAGCGUGUUGUGAAAUGUAGAUGCUCAACAUCUGAACUGCAGCGCGAACUGGCUGGCUUGAGUACACGCAACGUGGGCGGAAUUCAUGGUGUAGCGGUGAAAUGCUUAGAUAUCAUGAGGAACUCCUAUUGCGAAGGCAGCUCACGGGAGUGUCACUGACGCUUAAGCUCGAAGGUGCGGGUAUCAAACAGGAUUA